GGAGACAAUGUAUGAAAAGAAUGGAC
RNAcentral lists this non-coding RNA (26 nucleotides) under Mus musculus (house mouse). The record is from RNAcentral. Lineage: Eukaryota; Metazoa; Chordata; Mammalia; Rodentia; Muridae.